This 441-nucleotide ribosomal RNA is filed under the name uncultured Streptococcus sp. RNAcentral's name for it is "bacterial SSU rRNA". It matches the Rfam family "Bacterial small subunit ribosomal RNA", at positions 939 to 1382 of the family's 1533-position model. Lineage: Bacteria; Bacillati; Bacillota; Bacilli; Lactobacillales; Streptococcaceae. The record is from RNAcentral.
AUGUGGUUUAAUUCGAAGCAACGCGAAGAACCUUUACAGGUCUUGACAUCCCGAUGCUAUUUCUAGAGAUAGAAAGUUACUUCGGUACAUCGGUGACAGGUGGUGCAUGGUUGUCGUCAGCUCGUGUCGUGAGAUGUUGGGUUAAGUCCCGCAACGAGCGCAACCCCUAUUGUUAGUUGCCAUCAUUCAGUUGGGCACUCUAGCGAGACUGCCGGUAAUAAACCGGAGGAAGGUGGGAUGACGUCAAAUCAUCAUGCCCCUUAUGACCUGGGCUACACACGUGCUACAAUGGUUGGUACAACGAGUUGCGAGUCGGUGACGGCGAGCUAAUCUCUUAAAGCCAAUCUCAGUUCGGAUUGUAGGCUGCAACUCGCCUACAUGAAGUCGGAAUCGCUAGUAAUCGCGGAUCAGCACGCCGCGGUGAAUACGUUCCCGGGCCUU